AGCAGCCGCGGUAAUUCCAGCUCCAAUAGCGUAUAUUAAAGUUGUUGCAGUUAAAAAGCUCGUAGUUGAAUUUCGGGGUCAGUAGGUUGGUCAUGCCACAGGUAUGUACUGAUCUUACUGAUUCCUCCUUCCUGAUGAACCGUAAUGCCAUUAAUUUGGUGUUGCGGGGAAACUGGACUGUUACUUUGAAAAAAUUAGAGUGUUUAAAGCAGGCUAACGCUUGAAUACAUUAGCAUGGAAUAAUGAAAUAGGACGUUCGAUCCUAUUUUGUUGGUUUCUAGGAUUGACGUAAUGAUUAAUAGGGAUAGUUGGGGGCAUUAGUAUUCAAUUGUCAGAGGUGAAAUUCUUGGAUUUAUUGAAGACUAACUACUGCGAAAGCAUUUGCCAAGGAUGUUUUCAUUAAUCAAGAACGAAAGUUAGGGGAUCGAAGACGAUCAGAUACCGUCGUAGUCUUAACCAUAAACUAUGCCGACUAGGGAUCGGAUGGUGUUAAUUUUUUAAUGACUCAUUCGGCGCCUUA
Molecule: ribosomal RNA, 520 nt
Filed under: uncultured Glomus
Lineage: Eukaryota; Fungi; Glomeromycota; Glomeromycetes; Glomerales; Glomeraceae
Description: SSU rRNA
Rfam family: Eukaryotic small subunit ribosomal RNA
Source: RNAcentral